This 211-nucleotide unclassified non-coding RNA is filed under the name plant metagenome. RNAcentral's name for it is "partial contains small subunit ribosomal RNA, internal transcribed spacer 1, and 5.8S ribosomal RNA". The record is from RNAcentral.
UUUCCGUAGGUGAACCUGCGGAAGGAUCAUUCAUAAUAAAGUGUUUUAUGGCACUUUUUAAAAAUCCAUAUCCACCUUGUGUGCAAUGUUAGAUCUCGUCAAUCUUGGCGAGGUUUUUAUACAUCAACUCAUUCUUUAACUAAUUUGUCUGAAGAAUAUUAUGAAUACUUAAUUCAAAAUACAACUUUCAACAACGGAUCUCUUGGCUCUC